GACGAACGCUGGCGGCGUGCUUAACACAUGCAAGUCGAACGAAGUGGCGAACGGGUGAGUAACGCGUAAUCACCCUGCCCUUCAGAGGGGGACAACAGGUGGAAACGACUGCUAAUAACGCAUACUGAGGGAUGUGAUUGCGUCUGAUUGGCUAGUUGGAGGGGUAACGGCCCACCAAGGCGAUGAUCAGUAGCCGGUCUGAGAGGGUGACCGGCCACAUUGGGACUGAGACACGGCCCAGACUCCUACGGGAGGCAGCAGUUGGGAAUCUUCCGCAAUGGACGAAAGUCUGACGGAGCAACGCCGCGUGAGUGAUGACGGGCUUCGGGUUGUAAAGCUCUGUUAAUCGGGACGCGGUACCGGAAUAGAAAGCCACGGCUAACUACGUGCCAGCAGCCGCGGUAAUUC
Molecule: ribosomal RNA, 408 nt
Filed under: uncultured bacterium
Lineage: Bacteria
Description: partial 16S ribosomal RNA
Rfam family: Bacterial small subunit ribosomal RNA
Source: RNAcentral